Molecule: ribosomal RNA, 468 nt
Filed under: uncultured bacterium
Lineage: Bacteria
Description: partial 16S ribosomal RNA
Rfam family: Bacterial small subunit ribosomal RNA
Source: RNAcentral
GACGAACGCUGGCGGCGUGCUUAACACAUGCAAGUCGAACGGAAAGGCCCUGCUUUUGUGGGGUGCUCGAGUGGCGAACGGGUGAGUAACACGUGAGUAACCUGCCCUUGCCUUUGGGAUAACUUCAGGAAACUGGGGCUAAUACCGGAUAGGAGCUCCUGCUGCAUGGUGGGGGUUGGAAAGUUUCGGCGGUUGGGGAUGGACUCGCGGCUUAUCAGCUUGUUGGUGGGGUAGUGGCUUACCAAGGCUUUGACGGGUAGCCUGCCUGAGAGGGUGGCCAGCCAAAUUGGGACUGAGAUACGGCCCAGACUCCUACGGGAGGCAGCAGUGGGGAAUAUUGCACAAUGGGCGGAAGCCUGAUGCAGCAACGCCGCGUGCGGGAUGACGGCCUUCGGGUUGUAAACCGCUUUCGCCUGUGACGAAGCGUGAGUGACGGUAAUGGGUAAAGAAGCACCGGCUAACUACGUG